RNAcentral lists this ribosomal RNA (116 nucleotides) under Bacillus cereus. Lineage: Bacteria; Bacillati; Bacillota; Bacilli; Caryophanales; Bacillaceae. The record is from RNAcentral.
UUUAUUGGAGAGGGCAGAGAGGUCACACCCGUUCCCAUACCGAACACGGAAGUUAAGCUCUCUAGCGCCGAUGGUAGUUGGGACCUUGUCCCUGUGAGAGUAGGACGUCGCCAAGC